This 319-nucleotide ribosomal RNA is filed under the name Weissella confusa. Its description in RNAcentral is "partial 23S ribosomal RNA". It matches the Rfam family "Archaeal large subunit ribosomal RNA", at positions 1102 to 1429 of the family's 2987-position model. Lineage: Bacteria; Bacillati; Bacillota; Bacilli; Lactobacillales; Lactobacillaceae. The record is from RNAcentral.
AAACAACUCAGACUAUGGUUAAGGCCCCUAAAUACUGGAUAAGUGUAAGGGAGUCUUUGGCCCAAGACAAUGGGAAGGUGGGCUUAGAAGCAGCCACCCUUUAACGAGUUCGUAACAGAUCACCCAUCGAGGUCAGAGGCACCUAAAAUGGACGGGAAUUAAUCCAGUUGCCGAUACCAUAGAACACCCGCUAGUGGUGAUUGUGUAGAGUGGCGACCUGUGUGGGUUGAAGAGGGGGCGUGAGUUCCUUUGGACCUUGCAGGUAUGUGGAUCCUGGUAGUAGUAGCAGCAAAGUGAGGUGAGAAUCCUCACCGCCGGA